RNA transcript from Neofelis nebulosa (Clouded leopard), 3602 nucleotides. It is a transcript of the gene named transmembrane protein 42, with no coding region annotated. The record is from RefSeq and is a predicted model, not a curated record. The transcript is spliced from 5 exons. NCBI's taxonomy places the organism in Eukaryota, Metazoa, Chordata, Mammalia, Carnivora, Felidae.
UGGGGGGCGCUGGGGGGGCGGGGUCUGUUCGCCAGGUCAGCUGCCGAGCGCUGCAGUCAGCUGGGGCGGGGGAGCAUCCUUCUAUUCUAAAUCACCUCAAAUCCUCGUCCCGUGUAGGCGGUAAGAGACCUGAGCCUCUUCCCUACCAGGGACCUAAACUCUGCCCUCCGACUGGGUUAGUUCGCUUUCCUGCAUCCACUCUCUACCUCUCAUUUUAAGCCCCUUAUGCCUGGACGUUUCUCUCCUCGUAACUCAAGGUGAGAAGCCUGUUGCCCGUCUUUACUCCGUAAUUAACGGGUGUUUUGACCAGUAUAUACCCUGCUGCCCGGAAAAUUGGGAGUUUGGGACACCUAGACAUGAGAGGACAGAGAAACAUUUUGGACAUUCCCAUCCCUGAUGCCGAGAACUCCUAAACUGCCUCCCCACGCCUGCUGAAGUGUAUCUCUGCCCCUCCCAUCCCAAGUCACAGGCUCUCCUCUGCUGCUGGAGGGAUUUCAUCGCAUCUGCAACCCAGGGUGAACGUGGUCUUCUGCAUCUUAGGCAUUAUCGUGAUGGCCACCACCAAUUCUCUCAUGUGGACGUUCUUUAGCCGGGGCCUCAGUUUCUCCAUGUCUUCGGCCAUUGCAUCUGUCACGGUGACUUUUUCAAACAUCCUCAGCUCGGUGUAUGUAUCCUGUGACCCAGCAGUUGACUUUGGAAGAUUUAUGUCACAGAUGUUGUCACCCGCAAGUGCAAAGACGUGUGCGAGGAAGUGAUGUAUGAGGUCUGGAACAACUUCAAGGCCCACCCAGAGGCAGUAGUGGCCGCUGAAGAGAAUGACAUCUACUUGGAUGGUUAAGAAAUCAACUCCAAGAAGCGAGGCACCGGGGCGUUCCACAGGCAGGAGGCUGCCCAGCACACCUGGAAGAGGGAUUUGCUUUGUUUUGCAGAAACUAGAAUCGUCCAUUGGGAUUUCUGAAAGUAAUAAUAAUAAAAGAGGAACUCAAGUGGCUUUGCCCUUUCUCUGGUUUCCAUAAAGUGGAAGAAUGUCCAGCCGGGACGCAAUCAGGGUUUGGGAGAGAUGCGGGCCACUCCCAGUUAAUUUCCAAAAUAGAAGAUGCCCAAAUAGGUAUAAACAUUUUAACGAUCACCAUUUCACGGAGGAGGAAACUGAGGCACAGAACGCGAGCAUCUGUCCCAGGUCACACGGUGAGUGUGUGCACAGGCCCUCCUGGGCGCCCUGCCCGUCCGGACAGGCCACACCCUCCAUGUGUUCUGCGAUGCUCUGGGGAGCCACACUGGGCGGGGGUGCCAGGCUGGGCUGGCAACCCCUUGUGCCACUGGGGUGGACGCUGAUGCCCACCCCUCAUGCGUGCGUCAGAUGGACGUGCUCGCCAGGAAUUGGUCCGGGAGCUACCAGAGGCGCCUGGCUGGUACCUGUGGGCAGGCGGUGCCCUAGGCUUUACCCGGUGUUCUCCGGGACCCUGAGCACAGGUUGGCAGGAUACCAGGAGGGAGAGGGGAGAGGCCCCAGGAGUGGGGCUCCCAGCACCCCCAGUCGCUGCUCACCCCGCCUGGCAUUUCUGUACUGAGAGCGUGGGGUCCCCAUCCCAGCACGCACUGAAUCCACCUAUAAUCCAGCCCAUGACGUGAGAAGAACCUCAGAGUGGACACCCACCGGAACGAGAUGAGAGAAACUGCAGACCCUGUCGGGUAGGGGCCCACCCCCUCCCUCCCUUUCCUCCCUCUCCCAGGAAUCUUCCAGCACAAACCCAGUCUCCAGACCCUCCCCACCCCCAAGACUCGUGGAGGCCCCAACCGCUCCCAGAGACUGAUCCAAGUUGUACACAGGUGUCCACUGCUCCUGAAAUGCAGUAUUUUCCACAAGCAGAUCAGCUGGAGGUGUGCGUACAGGCAGCGUCCUGGACCGGUGCCCUUGCCCCCAGCGGUGGAGGCUGGGAAUCUGCACUGAAUGAAGGGAUGUGCUCCCCUUUGCAGGAAGGCCUCACGGGGGAACGGCCACGGGUGGGGGCCCCAGGCCGGCUUGUGAAUUUGCCGGAUCUGCUGCUUCGGUUCCAUCUUCUACGCUCCAGCCCCUCUCGGCCAAGCAAGUACCGUUUACUCCAGCACCCCUGGGUCCUCCCCAUCCACUGCUCCCCAGGACUAACGCUGCCUUUGGGACCCUGGGGGCCUCCACCUCAGGGCGCAGAAAGAUCAGGUCAGUCAAGGGGAUUCCAACUUUGAGUAGCCUGGGAGAAGAGCAUUUUAAACAAGGUGCCCCUUGGGGGCCUCUGGGUGGCUCAGUCGGUUAAGCGGCUGACUCUUGAUUUUGGCUCAGGUCUUGUUCUCAAGGUUCGCGAGUUUGAGCCCCGCAUCGGGCUCUGUGCUGACAGCUCAGAGCCCUCUUGGGAUCUUCUGUUCCCUUCUGCUCUUCCCCAACUCGUUCUCUCUCUCUCAACAAAAUAAACAUUAAAAAACAAAUAAACAAGGUGCCCUUUCCUGACCUUGGGGUAAAGCAGAUACCCCCCAAGGGGCACCCCACUUGAAGCCUCCCACCUUGCCCACCCGUGCCCCAGUGGGUCUGGAAGCAUGGGCAGCAGGCCGUUCAGGAGCCCACCCUGAGGCGCCCAGGUCUGCAGACGGGCUCUUGCAGGGCGUGGGCCGGCCCAGCUUGGGAGCCUUGGGCAGGCGCAGGGGAGGGAGACCCCGUGGCCAGCAGGUCCCCCUUCCCUUGAGCAGGGGUCUGUUCUGGGGUGGGGGGCAGGUUCGUCUUCCCGGGAGGAGGUACCUCCUCGUGUGGACUGAAAGCCCUUCUUCGUUCACCGGAGGUGCUCCUUGGUGUUGUGCCCUCCAGAGACUUGCUCAGAUGAUCAAUAUGCUUUUAAUUAAAACUCUGCUUCAAGAUGACUGUGUGGUCCCCUGGGUCAUUUUCUUCUUUCUGCCAACAAGUUUCUUAAAGUAUCUUGUGCUGGGCAUCACGUGGGCCCUUGGGGAGCCAUCUGAUCCUCUGAAUUUCCCAGGCCAAGGGCCUCUUGAGAGGUUGGGCUUUCUUUUUUUCUCUUUUUUAAUACUUAUUUAUUUGAGAGAGAGAGCAAGCAGGGGAGGGGCAGAGAGAGAAAGAAUCCCAAGCAGGCUCAGCACAGAGCAUGACGCUGGCUCGAACCCACGAACUGUGAGAUCGUGACCUGAGCUGAGUCGGACGCUCAAUCGACUGAGCCCCUCAGUCUCCCUGGUCGGGCUUCUUUAUUGAGCCUUAUUCAGGACGCCCCGCCCCUCUCUCAGAGGCUGUAACCCUAGCAGACACAUUCUGGCUGAGUCAUGUGUUGAAUGAGUGUCUUUUAGUGUGUAAUCUGCAUGACAUUCAGGGGCAGUGGCCUGGCUUCUAAAGUCAAAACCCCUCAACCUUGGGCACUCUUGCCCCAAAUGCCCACUUCCGUGGCAUACAGUAGUUGUUCGAUAAAUGCAUGAAAGGUAACUUUUCCUGGGCGCCUGGCUGGCUCAGAUGGUUGAGCGUCCAGCUUUGGCUCAGGUCAUGAUCUCAUGGUUCGAGCCCCACAUCAGGCUUUCUGCUGCCAGUACGGGACUCAUUUCGGAUCCUGUCUCUCUCUCUCUCUCUGCUCCUCC